UACGUAGGGGGCUAGCGUUGUCCGGAUUUAUUGGGCGUAAAGAGCGUGUAGGCGGCCAUGUAGGUCCGGUGUGAAAACUCGAGGCUUAACCUCGAGAUGUCAUCGGAAACCAUUUGGCUAGAGUCCGGAAGAGGAGAGUGGAAUUCCUGGUGUAGCGGUGAAAUGCGCAGAUAUCAGGAAGAACACCAAUGGCGAAAGCCGCUCUCUGGGACGGUACUGACGCUGAGACGCGAAAGCGUGGGGAGCGAACAGG
Molecule: ribosomal RNA, 253 nt
Filed under: uncultured bacterium
Lineage: Bacteria
Description: partial 16S ribosomal RNA
Rfam family: Bacterial small subunit ribosomal RNA
Source: RNAcentral